UUAUUUGGCGCUAAAUAGUCUCUUGGGCGAAAAUUCGCGAGUUAUUUACUCGCGCGAGUGACGCGAAUUAAAUUCAAUUCUCGCGCGAGUACGCGUCCGGUCUGAACACACGGACGUGUUGCGGCAUUGCACUAUUUCUGAUCCGAGGCCUUUUAGGGGAGCUCCGCCCCAUUGUGUGGUAGGCCUAAACCUGGUCAGUAACACAAUUCACUCUGGAUUUCCACUCAUCUCAUCUGGCGUUGUUGAUGUCGUCGCUGGUCGUGUUGGCGUCUCCGUACGUCUGCGUCCAUUUGUCCAGCUGUUCUUUGAUUGGUCGCAGCGCAUCGUUCACCUGUGAGGCCGUCGUGUUCGCCAAGUCGGCCACUCGCUUCGCCUCGUUGAUCUCAGAGCUCACAUCUGAUGUCAGAGAGACACGGAGACAUUCAGAUGGUUCUUCAUCACGUCGGCCUGUUUGGUUUUGGCGUCUUCAAGUCUCUUCUGAGCAUUUUCCAGCUGCGGCUUCAGCUCUGCAUUAGGAAGGUACUUCAACUUAUAAAAACAGCAAUACUCAUAUCGACGUUGCUUAAAAAUUAUUCAUGUAAACAUGUUUGUUUACCGUUGACAAGCUCCUCGUUGAGCUUCUCCACUUCGCUCUGCAGCUCGAUGCUGUGGUUCCUCAGAGUGUCGGCCUGGUAACCAAGGUCCUUCUUCUUUAUGUUCUGCACACAAACACAGAAACAAGUUCAUCAUGAUGAGACAGCUUCUGAGUUGUGCCUGCCGAUGUGUCCAUACAGGCAGGAACAUAAAAGAAUUACUGGAAGUAUAAUAAAAUGUCUUUAUAGUUAUCGUAUGGAUGGAUUUUAAAUGAGUGCAGAGUCACUCCAAGGUAGUUUCUGAUUCAGCUAUCAAUAUGGUUAAUGAUAGGAAAAGUUUUUAAAAGUAUAAUUUUAAUGUUUAUUUGACUUUUGGUGUGUAUAUGCAGGCUCGUAUAUUUCUGUAUUUACAGAUGUGUGUAUACAUAUUAUCACUCUUAUGAUAAAUAUUACUACUUAUGUAUAUACUUUAUUUAUUUUAAUUUCUAUAGAUUUUUAUCCUUUUUUUUUUAAAUAUUAAGUUUUUACAUUGUUCAAUUUUUUAAAUUAAAUUUAUAAUAUACAUUUAAAAAAAAGUUUAAUAUUUUAUUUAUAUGUUGGUUUCUUCUUUUUAUUCAAAUGAACAAAAUAUGAAAGAAAAAUAAUGUGUGUGUGUGUCUGCGUUUGUGUCUGCAUGUGUGUGUGUGUGUGUGUUUGUGCAUGUGUGCGUGCGUGCAUGUCUGUGUGUGUGUGUGUCUCGUACCUCCAGCGUGGUGUUCGCUGCCCUCUCAGCGGUCUUGGCGGCGUCCUCGGCCUCUUUGAUGCUGUUGAUGAUCUUGUUGUAAGCCUGAGUCACGUCCACAAAUCCUUCUUUCUUCGCUUCUUCAACCAAACUGAGGCAAACAUCAUAAACAUAAUGUAAAAAAUAAUGUAACCUAUGACAUUACAACAUUUACCUGUGGUGAAUGCCCAGCAGUGUGGUUGUAUAUACAAAUAUAAUAAAAACAAGUAAUUUUACAGAAAUAUACUGUAAUUGUUGUAGUUUUUUCCUAAAAGUGCAAAUCUCAAAUAAAAAAGGAAUAAAACAUUUUUUUUCAACAAAAUAAAUACAAUUUAGUAUGGAUCAAAAUGUUACAUGAAAUGAAAUGUUACAAAAAAAAUAUGACGAUGAUAAUCAUAAAUAUAACAAUAAUAAUAAAUGAAUAAAUAAUAAUGUAAAAAAUUAAGUAAAUAUUUUUUAUUUACAGAAAAGUAGAAGAUAAAACAACUGUGGAUUUAUUCUAAUUUCUCAAUGGUCUUGGAUGUUAAAUUACAGUGAAUUAUGUGUAAAAAAUACAAAAAGUACACAUCACAUUGCUGAAUGUAAAAUAAAGGAAACUCUGUUUUCUUACACUAAAACUUUAAAUCUAAUGAAAUUCUAAUUUCAAGAAAUUGUAAAAAAAG
Centropristis striata (black sea bass) is the source of this 1994-nucleotide long non-coding RNA. RefSeq lists it as uncharacterized. Lineage: Eukaryota; Metazoa; Chordata; Actinopteri; Perciformes; Serranidae. The record is from RefSeq and is a predicted model, not a curated record. The transcript is spliced from 3 exons.